This 301-nucleotide ribosomal RNA is filed under the name uncultured bacterium. RNAcentral's name for it is "partial 16S ribosomal RNA". It matches the Rfam family "Bacterial small subunit ribosomal RNA", at positions 509 to 807 of the family's 1533-position model. The record is from RNAcentral.
CAGCAGCCGCGGUAAAACGAGGGGGGCAAGCGUUGUUCGGAAUUAUUGGGCGUAAAGGGUGCGUAGGCGGCUUGACAAGUCUUGUGUGAAAUCUAUGGGCUCAACCCAUAGUCUGCACGGGAAACUGUCGGGCUUGAGAAUGGGAGAGGUGAGUGGAAUUUCCGGUGUAGCGGUGAAAUGCGUAGAUAUCGGAAGGAACACCUGUGGCUAAAGCGGCUCACUGGACCAUUUCUGACGCUGAUGCACGAAAGCUAGGGGAGCAAACAGGAUUAGAGACCCGAGUAGUCCCUGUCUCUUAUAC